Taeniopygia guttata (zebra finch) is the source of this 5392-nucleotide long non-coding RNA. Lineage: Eukaryota; Metazoa; Chordata; Aves; Passeriformes; Estrildidae. The record is from Ensembl.
AUAUCCUGUAGAAUUUUGAAAACUGAAGAAGUUACAGCCAGAUCAAGACUGGUUUAAAUAUUUUUAAAUAUUUUUAAAUAUUAAUGUCUGUUCUCCUUUUCUGAAAAGUUGUUUAGCAAAUGCCUAUUUUUGUGGCUAAUAAAGAGGAAUACACCAAACUAUAAAAGAACUGAUUGUGUUUGCUAGAACUAUGGCCAAAAUCCAGCUAUGCCAGCAUGCUUCAUCUGACAAAGGUAUCACCAAGUGCUUUGAUAGAAGUCCUCUCAUAAAAGAUAUUGUGGAACAUCAGUGGGAUGAUUUUUUGUUUCAAAUUUCUGUUAUCUCUUACCAUGGUCUGACAUUUAAGCUUUUAAGUCUAUGUAGUUUUUCAAUACAAUUCUCUUUCAGACCUUAUGUUCUUGAGUAGUUCUACAUCUUUUACACGAAAUAAAUUAUCUAGAGACAAGACUAGACAAUAGGCAUAAAUUAACUUUGGAAAUCAUUUAAGGAUCAUUUGAUCAGCUGCUCCUUUGAAACUCUUUAUAAUGGUUGUUUUAAUGCUGUAAUUAGUCAAGAGGACCUGUAGUGUUUCUAAGUGGGAAAAGAGAGUCAAUAAAAAGAUAAAAAUCAUUCAAGAAAGUAAUUUAGAGAGUAAAUUGAAGAUAGGAGAGACCUGAACAGCUGUACAUUUCUAAUUAUUUUAAUGUAUGUGAGACUGAAUCCAGUGUGAAUAAAGAUGUAUUUUUUCCUCAUUGCAAAUAUUCUUGAAGCCACAAGAAGGCAUGUUGGGUAUUUCCCAUUUGUAAUAACAACAUCAUUAUGCUCUUAGAGUAGUGGGAGAAGAAAAGUUGAAAUGCUGCCAGAUGCAGUAUAUAUUUCUCAGUGGAGAAAUCUCUCUGAGUCUUUUGCUUGGUUCUGUUUUCAAAAUUUUCACUCAGAAGGGAAUCGCCUUUGCCUAUUUAAUUUCAUGACUCUUCACCUGAAAUUCUAAUAUGAUCAGUAUGUAAUUUCUGUGAUCUGUAUCCUGCCUUCUACUUGCAUGUACCAAGACAAGAGGAUAGAGGACUGUGACAUUCUUGAUUUUUCCUCAGGUAUGCACAAUUUACUGUAUCCCUGUCAUUAAAAAUCAAUUCCUGGCCAACUAUAGCCCAUAUUUCUUACUCUUCUUAACCUGUUGAGGCUUGUGCAGCUUCUGUACCUCAGAGUGUUUGCUCUACUACUUGUAUUGCUGUUCUGCAAUGGUCACAGAACUGGCACAGAAUACUUCCUUUGCGUCAUCAGUAAACUAUGGGAAGAAUUUGGAAAAUACAUGGAGCCUAAUACUAGGUAAUCAACGUUCUCUGUGGUCAGCAGUGCUCAGAGGGUGUGUCAUAUGAACUAAACCAUGUCAAUCAUGGGUGAAGUGUCUUUAAGAACUAGAAAAACAAGACUUCAAUGAAGUUUGUGUAUGUGAAUGAAUUUAUUAUAGUUGGCUGGUGGUGGGGAAUGCCAGCUACUGCAUGGCAUAAGGAAUUAGGGUCUGCAGAGGACAAUAGUAAUUUAUAAAUUCUUUGAAAAUAUUCUUGUGCGCAUACCCCUUCUUGAGUAAAAAUCUCAACUCAAAUAUUAUAUAUUUGCAUAUGUUACCUCUCCAAAGUGUACAGAUAUUAAUACUUUUGGAUGCUAAUCUGAGAUAUUUUUGAAGGCAGAGAACUGUGGACACUGUAUGUAGCCUGAGAAAGCACCAGAGAAAAGACAAAGCUGAAGUCCCACUCUGCUCUCCAGGCUGCUGACACUCUUUGUGUGUAUUCAUUGUUACAUCAAUAUGUCCCUCAAAGAUGAAAUAGAUAUCAGGAGAACUUCAGAGAAAUUAUUCACCUAAACCCUCACAUAAGAAGAAAGAAUUAUUUUCAUUGCACAUGCGAGAUAUUGCAGGCUGAAAUACCUGAAGAGAAUCACUGAUGAACACAAGCAUCCCAGCAUACCUACCAUCAACAACAAUUUGCUCAACUAGACACAUCUAAACAAAAUUUGGGAUAACACUCUUCAGCCAGGUAAGGCUGUUUGUGAAAGGAGUCUGCUUCUCAGACCCCCUGCCAGUCAACAUCUGCAGGCACAGGGGCUUCUGUCAUAGGGGCUUAUUUCGUACAGCAUAGGGGCUUAUGUCGGAAAAAGCUUCGUAACUGGGCUCCACUAAAGGCCACAGAGAAACAUGGGAGGAGACCAAGAAGCUGCAUCUCUUGGGUACGCUGACAUGAAAACAAACACGUACUGUUCUUGGGCAAGUGACCUCUUGAAAAAAUUAGCUAACCCCCAGAUUUUAACAUGCUAAACCAUAUUUGUCACAUUUGGACUGCCUACAGCAUGUGCACAUUUUGUCAGUUCUUUCACACCUUACCCAGAGCAACUACAUCUGACCAGAAUAAAACUCAGAAGGAGCAAUGUGGUCAGUGCUUGUGCAUCACCUUAGGCUCUUUUGGCCACUUUAAAGUGGUUCUUUUCUGUAAUACUCAAUAGCUUUUACCCUUCCAUGAGAUUUUUUUAUUUUUGUCAAGGUUUCAUUAACAUUAAAAUCAGGUUAUUUGAAGGAGGAGAAAUCCCAUUUCUUCUUCAUUUAAAUUUACUAUCAAAUUACUUGCUUUUGUAAUAACAAUAUGUUUUGCAUAGCAUCUAUGCUACAAGUACAACUUUAACAAAUUUCAUGUGUGAAUGUGGUUUAUCUUUGAAAAUUUUAAAGGAAAAGAGUAGGACUCCUCACAGCAAUCAUUCAAUAAUAGAAAUGCUUCAAAUUUCAAACCAUAUAGAUUUCGUCUGUUAUAUUUUUAAAUGUUUUCUUCACCCACAUUUGUUUUAACAAAAUACUUAAAAAAUAUUAGCACUCUGCUUUUAGUUUACUAGAAAGGAGCUUUUCCAUAGCAGAAAAUACUACUCUUUUGUUUUGACCACAGAUGAAGAAUGGCAGCUUUAGGACUAAAACAGAAGGCUGUACCUCCACUGUAUAAGCCACACAGCUAAAGCAAAGCAUGUAGAGCACCCAGUGCACGCAUUUUCAAGUCCAACUGGAGCCCACCCACUGGGUAUCUCUCAGCUGGAGACCAGGUCUGCAGGCUCUUCAGUCUUCACCCUGGUUUUCUUAGGUGCAAGAACUUCUAAAAAGAGCCUUCAGCUUAAGAAAUAUGGAAUCUAAGACACAUGGGGUUCUCAACCUCAGCCAAAAAUAGUCAGAAGUGGGAAAACCUGCUUACUUUACAAUUCUGCUCUGCUGAUGUACAUUCCUGGGAGGUUCGAUUCCAGGAUGAGUCAUGCCAGAAACUCUCCUGUAGUUAAGACAUCUUAAGGCUGUAAAGGGUCAAUAAAGUGAGGCAGCUCCUUUCAAGUGCAGGAAGCAUUUCCUUGAACCUCAAAAUCUAUGCCAUCUUCUAAAAAAUAAAUGCAAAGCGGAUAGAUAUUUCAGAAAGAACAAAUGAACAACAUGCAAACACCUUCACCUUAACCCAAGUUCCAGGGAUGCAGGACUUGAUGAUAAAAUGUUAUUUAGCAGCACUUCACCUCUAUAAAUCUGGUGUCACAUUAAAAGGAGACCAGUACAUUAAGUUCAUAGUAUUAAUGGGGAAACAAAGCCGUUGGAGGUGUAAUAACUUGAUCAAAACUAGAUCUGGGUUUACCUAUAUUGGAUUAGAUCCAUUUUAUCCAGAAAAUAUGCUGUCUCUGACUACAGCCACCAGAUACAUCCCAGGAAAUCAUAAGAAAACCCACUUACAUGUGUUGACAAAUCUACCUGUUUACAUUAUUGUGAGGUGCAGAAGGGAGACUGAUACAAUCGGUGAGUUAAAUCUUCAGUAAAAAAAAAAAAAAGGCACAGGAAAUUAUUAUUCUUUCCUUUCAUAUGAUACAAGUAGCUUGUAUGUGUGCUAGAAAAAAAAUAUGAAAAAGCUCAGAAUUGUAGUUUUAAUUACACUGUCACUGUCACACAACUCACCCUGAAAUUAGAGAGCCACCUAAAGAGUUUAGUUAAUCUGUCAUGUUUCUGAAGGCUGCAAAUCAAAGGACAUGAAGUCUUGUCUUUAACUGUUGAAAUGCAAAGUGAGAAUUCACCAAAAAUAUAAGGAACUUGUAUAAUACUGACAAUGGAUAAAUUUCAGCACUGGAGUGACACCCAGGGAAAUUUGCCACUUGAUUAUCUGAGGUUCAGGUAGUUAAUUUCAGCUAAAGCCAGAGGAAGCUGUAAAUUGCUUGCAGUGUUUUGACUGUCAAGAUUUCAGAAUCAUCAGGGACACAGAAAAACCAUACUUACUGCUGGUCUCAAGAGAUUUAAUGAAAAACAGCACCAAACUAGAAUAGAAAUGAAACGUUUAUUAACAUCCAAGUGUAAUCAAACUAAAAACCACCUCCCAUGGAAACAGCAGAGGAAGACACCUGUCCAACAAUAUUUUUCCAUCAGAUGCAAUGUAAACAAAUAAUUGGUUUGCAUUUUUCCAUUAGUUAAAAGUCAUAGUCUCCUCUGAGUGAGUUGAAGGGGUUCUGCUGUCUAUUUCAGCAUUCCGAUUAGGAAUUCUAUGUAAUAGUAUGUCAAAAGGAUGAUAUUUUACAUAGCUGCAUGAUUACCAGAAUUUUAGAACUUUUGUAAUUUGGAAAGAUCUAAGGUUUGUUAGAACUAUAAAUUUAAAUUAAGUAACAUUACAUAAAAUACACUACCAUUUUAUUUUAAACUUAACUGUUGUUAGUUCACUUAUUAAGGGCCUCCUGCUAAGACUAACCACUUUUACUGCUUAGUAACAACAAUACCAAAAAUCUGAUCUGGCAUUAAAGAGCUGUCAUGGAUGUGAAUGCUCUAUGCAUGAAUAUUAAAGACCAUCCCUAUCAGACCAUGAUAGUAAGAAUACAUAGAGAUAAUGGCUGACUUUGGGUGUGUCAUUUCAACUGAUGAUUCAGAGAUGAUCUCAAUCAUCAGAGUUGUAAGGACAACAUUGCUUAUUACAAAUUGUGCUUUAGAGAGCAAUUAAUUAUGGUCUGCCUAGCCCUAGACUGUUAUUAAGUGUGCAGUGUUACAACAUUUAAACACAGCUCUGAGUCUUAAUUACUCUGACACACAAAGUAUUCAUGUGUUAUGUAGAAUACCUUCUUUCAAUACUCUGCGUGUUCCAGGUCAUUCCUGCAACUGCUGUGAUUAAUAAAGACCCCUUGUGCAUAACAUCCAAGAAAUGAGCCAGGUGUAGCAAUGUACUAAAGCUUAUUGGUAUGAAGCAGUAAUUGCUACCACACAGCGUAGCUUUUUCUUGCCUUUCCUGCAACAGGAAAUGUAGACCCCACUCUGUACCACGGGCUCUGUUCUGCACUUGCUGAAGAAGAGAAAUGGUCAGCUCUGCUGCUGUGUGCACUUACACCGGCCUUCAAAGGGGCAGGUACUGAAAUGUAAAAAAAAAAAAAAAAAAAA